GGGCUUGACAUCCCACGAACCUGCCUGAAAGGGUAGGGUGCCCGCAAGGGAGCGUGGAGACAGGUGGUGCAUGGCUGUCGUCAGCUCGUGUCGUGAGAUGUUGGGUUAAGUCCCGCAACGAGCGCAACCCUCACCCCUAGUUGCCACCGGGUAAAGCCGAGCACUCGAGGGGAACUGCCAGCGUCAAGCUGGAGGAAGGCGGGGAUGACGUCAAGUCAUCAUGCCCCUUACGUCCUGGGCUACACACGUGCUACAAUGGCCAGUACAGAGGGAUGCGAGACCGCGAGGUGGAGCCAAUCCCAAAAAGCUGGUCUAAGUUCAGAUUGCAGUCUGCAACUCGACUGCAUGAAGUAGGAAUCGCUAGUAAUCGCGCAUCAGCACGGCGCGGUGAAUACGUUCCCGGGCCUUGUACACACCGCCCGUCACACCACGAAAGCUGGCUGUACUCGAAGUCGCUGAG
Molecule: ribosomal RNA, 460 nt
Filed under: uncultured bacterium
Lineage: Bacteria
Description: bacterial SSU rRNA
Rfam family: Bacterial small subunit ribosomal RNA
Source: RNAcentral